Betta splendens (Siamese fighting fish) is the source of this 1530-nucleotide long non-coding RNA. RefSeq lists it as uncharacterized. NCBI's taxonomy places the organism in Eukaryota, Metazoa, Chordata, Actinopteri, Anabantiformes, Osphronemidae. The transcript has 2 exons. The record is from RefSeq and is a predicted model, not a curated record.
UGCUUAGGGCGGCUCACGCUACACGGCUAGCUUGCUGCUUUCUGGGUUUACUUCGCAACUUCCUCUUUUUCCUACAUAAAUCAACCAACCGAGUGAGCUCAAGUCAAGUCAGCCACACGAAUAAAGGCUCCAUCUCCGGCCCAGGCCCUGUCCACACCCUGGCCCUCAAUCCUGCAGGGUUUCCAGUCAGGGAAGGGAAAACGUCCAGCUACUACUAAGGCAUCAUCAUGAAGCUCAGCCAGCAACUUGUCCUGCAACAAUGAAAGCUACAAAGACAAUAUUUUUUUAAUUUUGCAGGUGUCCAGAAAUGUAAAAAAAAAAAAAGUUAAGAUUGUAGGUAUUGGUUCACUGAAUUACUCACCACACUGGGAGCCAGAAACACAGUGAUGUUCUUACAUUCUGUCAAAUCAACCUACAAUGAGAAGGAUUUAACCUUAAAAAUAAUGCAGUUUAAAAUGUAGGGGUUCACUUACAGUUAUGGUAAAUGAAAGUAAUACAAGCUUAUACUAAAGCAAAUCUAAAUAAAUUUGGCUUCCUCACAGUCCACAAUGCUACUAUGGCAUAUACUGUAAUAGUGGCUGGUUUACCCUGCAGAUGUGCAAAGAAGAAUUUCAUGUUGCCAAAACAUCUAUGUGCCAAACAUCAAACCUUCCAGAGGUCUUCACGCCGGUAUAAAACCUUCCCAUGAAGGCCUGCUCUCCAUGCGUGAAAACGGGCCAGACGAACAAGCCAUGGAUUGAGCUCAUAACCGACAGCUGGCGUGAAACCCUGCCGACUGGCUUCCAAGACCUUAGGGGUUAAAAAUAACCACUGUCAAAGUAAUUGUUAAUCAGUGCAGGACAAAGAAUCCAAGUAAAAAUGCAUGACUUACAAUGCGACCAUCACCAGAUCCCAAAUCCACAAGGCCUCCUUUUUGACCUCUCAAGAGUUUCAUGACAUUAUCUACUUGGGCUUUGCUGGCGGGAAUGUAGGGAACCUGUUUGAUUUCGUAAUAGGUGACUGAUGAAUGAAAUUAUGUUUUGACAUACUGAAAUUCUUAUCAAGAUUUAAACCAUACUUGUAGCUUUAAUGGGACUCUUCGGAAACCUGGCUGUAGGAUCCCCACCCACACAGCAUACACAGCAAGCCCAGUGCCGGCAGCUAUUUGAGCAAGUCCCCAGCCACCAACGUGCCUCGUCUUUAGUUCAGCAAGACACACCUCAUCUGGCAUGUCAUCGUCCAUUUCUGUAAUGGAACCACAAGACCUAAGAUGUAAACAUAAAAUAUUUUAGAGGCUAUGAUAAAAAGGGCAUCUAAGGUACUUGUAGUUGUAAUAACUGCAUAACAGUAAUAUGACGAGCCUAUUAACAAGUGUGACGGACACUGCUUUCACAAUAUUUUAUUUAUCUCUGUAGUAUGUAAAUUUUAUGAAAUGGUUCAGUAACAAAGGAGGCGUCAUGUUCUUACUUGUAUCCAGUUACGUUGUCUGGCCGAGUUUUUUAGGUCAUGGGGAAUAGUUCAUAUGAUUAAUAAAAAUGUUAUAACACACAA